Molecule: long non-coding RNA, 332 nt
Organism: Dreissena polymorpha
Lineage: Eukaryota; Metazoa; Mollusca; Bivalvia; Myida; Dreissenidae
Exons: 2
Source: RefSeq, a predicted model, not a curated record
CCGGACUUGUAAACCAAUUGGACAGCAGUUCAGGCAGAGCUAUAGACUAAUUCCGACACCACCUAAAAAUGUACAUUUAGGUUUACGUAUAAUAUUGAGGUCACUUAAAUACAGAUUCCCUGCUGUUUUUCACGCACGGUCUAUCACAACAACAUCGUUCCAAGAAAGAAAGCAUAAUAUUAUUAUCCUUUUUGUGUUUUCAGCUGAAUACUUGAUUUAACUUGAACUCAGCAAGAUAUCCAAACAGGAAAAAUAAGGCAAAGUAGUGUUAUUCUGAGUAGAUCUGCCUGGCGGGAUUGAAAGCGAAGGCAGAUAGCAGUGUCGGUCCAAAA